This 386-nucleotide long non-coding RNA is filed under the name Lupinus angustifolius (narrow-leaved blue lupine). RNAcentral's name for it is "long non-coding RNA (LANG_LNC000204)". Lineage: Eukaryota; Viridiplantae; Streptophyta; Magnoliopsida; Fabales; Fabaceae. The record is from RNAcentral.
UUUCUAUUGUUUGGUGGAUUGUUGUAUAUGGGGGAAUUGUGCUUGGUUUGGAACUUGGUCAUUGAGGAAAAAGAGAGCGUAGAAGUGUAUAUGGGAUAGAGAACAACUAUGAAUGUGGAGUGAAAAUGUAUGGAUGAAUGAACAACACAAUAUCUUAUGUUUUUUUUUGGCUUCCUUAUUGGUCUCAUGACUUUGCUUGAAUAAAUAUGGAGUAGUAAAUUUAACAAAGGAUGGAAACAAAACUAUAGAAUAUGUGUUGAAGAAGGAGGAGCCAAAAAUGGUGUGUAAACAUAACAAAUAGACCGUUUGGUACUAAUAUGAAAUCAAGAACCUCCUUUUCCAUUAAAUGGUGAUGCUUAAUAAUAUAGGGGGAAUAAGAAUAUGGC